CUACGGGCGGCUGCAGUGGGGGAUAUUGCACAAUGGGGGGAACCCUGAUGCAGCGACGCCGCGUGAGCGAAGAAGUGCUUCGGCAUGUAAAGCUCUAUCGGCAGGGAAGAAAAUGACGGUACCUGACUAAGAAGCCCCGGCUAACUACGUGCCAGCAGCCGCGGUAAUACGUAGGGGGCAAGCGUUAUCCGGAUUUACUGGGUGUAAAGGGAGCGUAGACGGCAUCGCAAGUCUGAUGUGAAAACCCGCGGCUCAACCACGGGAUUGCAUUGGAAACUGCGGAGCUUGAGUACUGGAGGGGCAGGCGGAAUUCCUGGUGUAGCGGUGGGAUGCGUAGAUAUCAGGAGGAACACCGGUGGCGAAGGCGGCCUGCUGGACAGUAACUGACGUUGAGGCUCGAAAGCGUGGGGAGCAAACAGGAUUAGAUACCCCAGUAGUC
RNAcentral lists this ribosomal RNA (439 nucleotides) under uncultured bacterium. Its description in RNAcentral is "partial 16S ribosomal RNA". It matches the Rfam family "Bacterial small subunit ribosomal RNA", at positions 339 to 795 of the family's 1533-position model. The record is from RNAcentral.